CCUACGGGACGCAGCAGUGAGGAAUAUUGGUCAAUGGGCGCGAGCCUGACCCAGCCAAGUAGCGUGAAGGAUGACUGCCCUACGGGUUGUAAACUUCUUUUCUAAAGGAAUAAAGUGAGGCACGUGUGCCUUUUUGAAUGUACUUUAUGAAUAAGGAUCGGCUAACUCCGUGCCAGCAGCCGCGGUAAUACGGAGGAUCCGAGCGUUAUCCGGAUUUAUUGGGAUUAAAGGGUGCGUAGGCGAAUUGAUAUGUUAGAGGUGAAAUGUCCGAGCU
This 274-nucleotide ribosomal RNA is filed under the name uncultured bacterium. RNAcentral describes it as "partial 16S ribosomal RNA". It matches the Rfam family "Bacterial small subunit ribosomal RNA", at positions 338 to 609 of the family's 1533-position model. The record is from RNAcentral.